This 1432-nucleotide ribosomal RNA is filed under the name uncultured Bordetella sp. Its description in RNAcentral is "partial 16S-23S ribosomal RNA intergenic spacer". It matches the Rfam family "Bacterial small subunit ribosomal RNA". The record is from RNAcentral. Lineage: Bacteria; Pseudomonadati; Pseudomonadota; Betaproteobacteria; Burkholderiales; Alcaligenaceae.
AGUCAGACGGCAGCACGGACUUCGGUCUGGUGGCGAGUGGCAUUGGUGAGUAAUGUAUCGGAACGUGCCUAGUAGCGGGGAUAACUACGCGAAAGCGUAGCUAAUACCGCAUACGCCCUUCGGGGGAAAGCGGGGGACCUUCGGGCCUCGCACUAUUGAAACGGCCGAUAUCGGGAUGUAGCUAGUUGGUGGGGUAACGGCUCACCAAGGCGACGAUCCGUAGCUGGUUUGAGAGGACGACCAGCCACACUGGGACUGAGACACGGCCCAGACUCCUACGGGAGGCAGCAGUGGGGAAUUUUGGACAAUGGGGAAACCUGAUCCAGCCAUCCCGCGUGUGCGAUGAAGGCCUUCGGGUUGUAAAGCACUUUUGGCAGGAAAGAAACGGCACGGGAUAAUACCCCGUGCAACUGACGGUACCUGCAGAAUAAGCACCGGCUAACUACGUGCCAGCAGCCGCGGUAAUACGUGAGUGCAAGCGUUAAUCGGAAUUACUGGGCGUAAAGCGUGCGCGGGCGGUUCGGAAAGAAAGAUGUGAAAUCCCAGGCUUAACUUUGGAACUGCAUUUUUAACUGCCGGUAGAGUAUGUCAGGGAGGUGGAAUUCCCGCGUGUAGCAGUGAAAUGCGUAGAUAUGCGGAGGAACACCGAUGGCGAAGGCAGCCUCCUGGGAUAACACUGACGCUCAUGCACGAAAGCGUGGGAGCAAACAGGAUAGAUACCCUGGUAGUCCACGCCUAAACGAUGUCAACUAGCUGUUGGGGCCUUCGGGCCUUGGUAGCGCAGCUAACGCGUGAAGUUGACCGCCUGGGGAGUACGGUCGCAAGAUUAAAACUCAAAGGAAUUGACGAGGACCCGCACAAGCGGUGGAUGAUGUGGAUUAAUUCGAUGCAACGCGAAAAACCUUACCUACCCUUGACAUGUCUGGAAUCCCGAAGAAGAGAUUUGGGAGUGCUCGCAAGAGAACCGGAACACAGGUGCUGCAUGGCUGUCGUCAGCUCGUGUCGUGAGAUGUUGGGUUAAGUCCCCGCAACGAGCGCAACCCUUGUCAUUAGUUGCUACGAAAGGGCACUCUAAUGAGACUGCCGGUGACAAACCGGAGGAAGGUGGGGAUGACGUCAAGUCCUCAUGGCCCUUAUGGGUAGGGCUUCACACGUCAUACAAUGGUCGGGACAGGGGGGUCGCCAACCCGCGAGGGGGAGCCAAUCCCAGAAACCCGAUCGUAGUCCGGAUCGCAGUCUGCAACUCGACUGCGUGAAGUCGGAAUCGCUAGUAAUCGCGGAUCAGCAUGUCGCGGUGAAUACGUUCCCGGGUCUUGUACACACCGCCCGUCACACCAUGGGAGUGGGUUUUACCAGAAGUAGUUAGCCUAACCGUAAGGAGGGCGAUUACCACGGUAGGAUUCCUGACUGGGGUGAAGUCGUAACAAGGUAG